This is a non-coding RNA of Rattus norvegicus (Norway rat), 69 nucleotides long. NCBI's taxonomy places the organism in Eukaryota, Metazoa, Chordata, Mammalia, Rodentia, Muridae. The record is from Rfam.
GGGGAUUUAGCUCAGUGGUAGAGCGCUUGCUUAGGAAGCACCAGGCCCUGGGUUCAGUCCCCAGCUCCG